CACGACAGACGGGCUCCAUCCAAGUUUCUACGACAGUCGACCGCCUUCUGGGUUUCAUCCGGGCUCCUACGGGAGUCGAACUUCUUCCUCGAACUCCUACUGCAGGUAGACUUCGUCGAGCUCCUACGGGAGCCAGACUUUAGCCCUGAGCUCCCAUUGCAGGUAGACCUCAUCCAAAUUCUUACAAGGGUCGGACUCCGAGCCCCCACCACAA
This 214-nucleotide long non-coding RNA is filed under the name Elaeis guineensis (African oil palm). Its description in RNAcentral is "long non-coding RNA (EGUI_LNC075130)". Lineage: Eukaryota; Viridiplantae; Streptophyta; Magnoliopsida; Arecales; Arecaceae. The record is from RNAcentral.